This is a transfer RNA of Sugiyamaella lignohabitans, 73 nucleotides long. It matches the Rfam family "tRNA". Rfam says of the family: Transfer RNA (tRNA) molecules are approximately 80 nucleotides in length. Their secondary structure includes four short double-helical elements and three loops (D, anti-codon, and T loops). Further hydrogen bonds mediate the characteristic L-shaped molecular structure. tRNAs have two regions of fundamental functional importance: the anti-codon, which is responsible for specific mRNA codon recognition, and the 3' end, to which the tRNAs corresponding amino acid is attached (by aminoacyl-tRNA synthetases). tRNAs cope with the degeneracy of the genetic code in two manners: having more than one tRNA (with a specific anti-codon) for a particular amino acid; and 'wobble' base-pairing, i.e. permitting non-standard base-pairing at the 3rd anti-codon position. Lineage: Eukaryota; Fungi; Ascomycota; Dipodascomycetes; Dipodascales; Trichomonascaceae. The record is from Rfam.
ACUUAGAUAGUUCAAAUGGUUAGAACGAUUGUCUCAUAUACAAUCAAUGUAGGUUCAAUCCCUGCUCUAAGUA